GUAAGGUUAAGCCUCACGGUUCAUUAGUACCGGUUAGCUCAACGCAUCGCUGCGCUUACACACCCGGCCUAUCAACGUCGUCGUCUUCAACGUUCCUUCAGGAGACUUAAAGUCUCAGGGAGAACUCAUCUCGGGGCAAGUUUCGUGCUUAGAUGCUUUCAGCACUUAUCUCUUCCGCAUUUAGCUACCGGGCAGUGCCAUUGGCAUGACAACCCGAACACCAGUGAUGCGUCCACUCCGGUCCUCUCGUACUAGGAGCAGCCCCCCUCAAUUCUCCAGCGCCCACGGCAGAUAGGGACCGAACUGUCUCACGACGUUCUAAACCCAGCUCGCGUACCACUUUAAAUGGCGAACAGCCAUACCCUUGGGACCUACUUCAGCCCCAGGAUGUGAUGAGCCGACAUCGAGGUGCCAAACACCGCCGUCGAUAUGAACUCUUGGGCGGUAUCAGCCUGUUAUCCCCGGAGUACCUUUUAUCCGUUGAGCGAUGGCCCUUCCAUUCAGAACCACCGGAUCACUAUGACCUGCUUUCGCACCUGCUCGCGCCGUCACGCUCGCAGUCAAGCUAGCUUAUGCCAUUGCACUAACCUCCUGAUGUCCGACCAGGAUUAGCUAACCUUCGUGCUCCUCCGUUACGCUUUGGGAGGAGACCGCCCCAGUCAAACUACCCACCAGACACUGUCCGCAACCCCGGUAAGGGGCCAACGUUAGAACAUCAAACAUUAAAGGGUGGUAUUUCAAGGUUGGCUCCACGCAGACUGGCGUCCACGCUUCAAAGCCUCCCACCUAUCCUACACAUCAAGGCUCAAUGUUCAGUGUCAAGCUAUAGUAAAGGUUCACGGGGUCUUUCCGUCUUGCCGCGGGUACACUGCAUCUUCACAGCGAGUUCAAUUUCACUGAGUCUCGGGUGGAGACAGCCUGGCCAUCAUUACGCCAUUCGUGCAGGUCGGAACUUACCCGACAAGGAAUUUCGCUACCUUAGGACCGUUAUAGUUACGGCCGCCGUUUACCGGGGCUUCGAUCAAGAGCUUCUCCUUACGGAUAACCCCAUCAAUUAACCUUCCGGCACCGGGCAGGCGUCACACCGUAUACGUCCACUUUCGUGUUUGCACAGUGCUGUGUUUUUAAUAAACAGUUGCAGCCAGCUGGUAUCUUCGACUGGUCUCAGCUCCAUCCGCAGGGACUUCACCUACACACCAGCGUGCCUUCUCCCGAAGUUACGGCACCAUUUUGCCUAGUUCCUUCACCCGAGUUCUCUCAAGCGCCUUGGUAUUCUCUACCUGACCACCUGUGUCGGUUUGGGGUACGAUUUGAUGUUACCUGAUGCUUAGAGGCUUUUCCUGGAAGCAGGGCAUUUGUUACUUCAGCACCGUAGUGCCUCGUCAUCACACCUCAGCCUUGAUUAUCCGGAUUUGCCUGGACAACCAGCCUACAUGCUUAAACCGGGACAACCGUCGCCCGGCUAACAUAGCCUUCUCCGUCCCCCCUUCGCAGUAACACCAAGUACAGGAAUAUUAACCUGUUUCCCAUCGACUACGCCUUUCGGCCUCGCCUUAGGGGUCGACUCACCCUGCCCCGAUUAACGUUGGACAGGAACCCUUGGUCUUCCGGCGAGCGGGCUUUUCACCCGCUUUAUCGUUACUUAUGUCAGCAUUCGCACUUCUGAUACCUCCAGCAUGCCUCACAGCACACCUUCGCAGGCUUACAGAACGCUCCCCUACCCAACAACACAUAGUGUCGCUGCCGCAGCUUCGGUGCAUGGUUUAGCCCCGUUACAUCUUCCGCGCAGGCCGACUCGACCAGUGAGCUAUUACGCUUUCUUUAAAUGAUGGCUGCUUCUAAGCCAACAUCCUGGCUGUCUGUGCCUUCCCACAUCGUUUCCCACUUAACCAUGACUUUGGGACCUUAGCUGGCGGUCUGGGUUGUUUCCCUCUUCACGACGGACGUUAGCACCCGCCGUGUGUCUCCCGUGAUAACAUUCUUCGGCAUUCGUAGUUUGCAUCGGGUUGGUAAGUCGGGAUGACCCCCUAGCCGAAACAGUGCUCUACCCCCGAAGAUGAGUUCACGAGGCGCUACCUAAAUAGCUUUCGGGGAGAACCAGCUAUCUCCCGGUUUGAUUGGCCUUUCACCCCCAGCCACAAGUCAUCCGCUAAUUUUUCAACAUUAGUCGGUUCGGUCCUCCAGUUAGUGUUACCCAACCUUCAACCUGCCCAUGGCUAGAUCACCGGGUUUCGGGUCUAUACCCUGCAACUUAACGCCCAGUUAAGACUCGGUUUCCCUGCGGCUCCCCUAUACGGUUAACCUUGCUACAGAAUAUAAGUCGCUGACCCAUUAUACAAAAGGUACGCAGUCACACCCGAAGGUGCUCCCACUGCUUGUACGUACACGGUUUCAGGUUCUUUUUCACUCCCCUCGCCGGGGUUCUUUUCGCCUUUCCCUCACGGUACUGGUUCACUAUCGGUCAGUCAGGAGUAUUUAGCCUUGGAGGAUGGUCCCCCCAUAUUCAGACAGGAUACCACGUGUCCCGCCCUACUCUUCGAGUUCACAACCUGUGCAUUUUGGUGUACGGGACUAUCACCCUGUACCGUCGGACUUUCCAGACCGUUCCACUAACACACAAGCUGAUUCAGACUCUGGGCUGCUCCCCGUUCGCUCGCCGCUACUGGGGGAAUCUCGGUUGAUUUCUUUUCCUCGGGGUACUUAGAUGUUUCAGUUCCCCCGGUUCGCCUCGUUAACCUAUGUAUUCAGUUAACGAUAGUGUGACGAAUCACACUGGGUUUCCCCAUUCGGACAUCGCCGGUUAUAACGGUUCAUAUCACCUUACCGACGCUUUUCGCAGAUUAGCACGUCCUUCAUCGCCUCUGACUGCCAGGGCAUCCACCGUGUACGCUUAGUCACUUAACC
Molecule: ribosomal RNA, 2904 nt
Filed under: Klebsiella pneumoniae subsp. pneumoniae Kp13
Lineage: Bacteria; Pseudomonadati; Pseudomonadota; Gammaproteobacteria; Enterobacterales; Enterobacteriaceae
Description: 23S ribosomal RNA
Source: RNAcentral